GUUUGACGGUAUGCCGUAUAGACAUCGUCGAUACGUCGCCCUACGAAUAACCGUGCGACGCAAAACCCCGCGAAUACGUAAUUACAGGCAACGUUACCAGCCGUAACGUAAAUAACCUUGCGAUAUUUUUUCCGACCAAAAGUCACCGAUGUCCGUUAUGCGAUUGUCACCCAAAAUAACGUUGUGCCCGCGAGUUGCCAUGUACGUCUCGUUAAUAUUAAAACGCACGCAUGCAUGUUGCAGCACCGGUCCUUAUACCUUGUAGUAUUUCGGACCUACGGUUCGGUUAACCAAAAAUAACCACAGAUUUGUUUUUUUUUUAUUUUCUUUUCGUCAAUAUCGGAGUUUUCAGGUUACCAAGUAAUGAUAUUUUGUUUUGUUUUUAUAUGGAUUAUAGUCUUUUGUGCAUAAAAUUAAUAAAUCGAAUAAAAUAAUUUUUUUUGCGGAUACAUCAAUAUUGAUUUAAUAAUUUAUUCUCUUUCUACAUCAGAAUAUCUCAAUAAUUAUGACAAUGAACAAUACUGAAACAUGCAUAGAUCAUUUUAUAUUUACGAAAAUUAUUGAUACUGACAAUGCAUAUUGCAAUAUAUUAUAUUAUUAAGCUGGAUAUAACUAAUCGUU
Cinara cedri is the source of this 621-nucleotide non-coding RNA. The record is from the annotation of a GenBank genome assembly. Lineage: Eukaryota; Metazoa; Arthropoda; Insecta; Hemiptera; Aphididae.